AUUGAACGCUGGCGGCAGGCCUAACACAUGCAAGUCGAGCGGAUGAAGGGAGCUUGCUCCUGGAUUCAGCGGCGGACGGGUGAGUAAUGCCUAGGAAUCUGCCUGGUAGUGGGGGAUAACGUCCGGAAACGGGCGCUAAUACCGCAUACGUCCUGAGGGAGAAAGUGGGGGACCUUCGGACCUCACGCUAUCAGAUGAGCCUAGGUCGGAUUAGCUAGUUGGUGGGGUAAAGGCCUACCAAGGCGACGAUCCGUAACUGGUCUGAGAGGAUGAUCAGUCACACUGGAUCUGAGACACGGUCCAGACUCCUACGGGAGGCAGCAGUGGGGAAUAUUGGACAAUGGGCGAAAGCCUGAUCCAGCCAUGCCGCGUGUGUGAAGAAGGUCUUCGGAUUGUAAAGCACUUUAAGUUGGGAGGAAGGGCAGUAAGUUAAUACCUUGCUGUUUUGACGUUACCAACAGAAUAAGCACCGGCUAACUUCGUG
Molecule: ribosomal RNA, 484 nt
Filed under: uncultured bacterium
Lineage: Bacteria
Description: partial 16S ribosomal RNA
Rfam family: Bacterial small subunit ribosomal RNA
Source: RNAcentral